This 682-nucleotide ribosomal RNA is filed under the name Escherichia coli. RNAcentral describes it as "partial 23S ribosomal RNA". It matches the Rfam family "Bacterial large subunit ribosomal RNA", at positions 558 to 1239 of the family's 2925-position model. Lineage: Bacteria; Pseudomonadati; Pseudomonadota; Gammaproteobacteria; Enterobacterales; Enterobacteriaceae. The record is from RNAcentral.
GUGUACGUACAAGCAGUGGGAGCACAGAGCAAUCUGUGUGACUGCGUACCUUUUGUAUAAUGGGUCAGCGACUUAUAUUCUGUAGCAAGGUUAACCGAAUAGGGGAGCCGAAGGGAAACCGAGUCUUAACUGGGCGUUAAGUUGCAGGGUAUAGACCCGAAACCCGGUGAUCUAGCCAUGGGCAGGUUGAAGGUUGGGUAACACUAACUGGAGGACCGAACCGACUAAUGUUGAAAAAUUAGCGGAUGACUUGUGGCUGGGGGUGAAAGGCCAAUCAAACCGGGAGAUAGCUGGUUCUCCCCGAAAGCUAUUUAGGUAGCGCCUCGUGAAUUCAUCUCCGGGGGUAGAGCACUGUUUCGGCAAGGGGGUCAUCCCGACUUACCAACCCGAUGCAAACUGCGAAUACCGGAGAAUGUUAUCACGGGAGACACACGGCGGGUGCUAACGUCCGUCGUGAAGAGGGAAACAACCCAGACCGCCAGCUAAGGUCCCAAAGUCAUGGUUAAGUGGGAAACGAUGUGGGAAGGCCCAGACAGCCAGGAUGUUGGCUUAGAAGCAGCCAUCAUUUAAAGAAAGCGUAAUAGCUCACUGGUCGAGUCGGCCUGCGCGGAAGAUGUAACGGGGCUAAACCAUGCACCGAAGCUGCGGCAGCGACACUGUGUGUUGUUGGGUAGGGGAGCGU